GGGCUUGAGAUGAGGAACAGAAGCACAGGUGGAGCGGGGAUUCCUUUUACCAAUUUCAGCACUGAAUGCAGAUAUUAGGGAGGCUCCCCCAAUCUGUUCCAAACCUGGAGUCAGCUCUUUGGUGGCCUGUCCAGGAAUCAUCUUGGGGCUUCUGCUCCAGGCCCAGGCUGCAGGUCAACUUCAGACUGCAGGAAGAAAAGUUCUAAUCAUGUCCAGACUAGAGGACUGAAGACCCUUAAGAAAAGAGAGAGCUCUGCUCAGACUUGUACCUCUUGGAGGAGCACUGUGGCCCUCGCCUCCUGGAAAUGACAGAAGCAGGACUGGGUAAGGGGAGGAAUUGUGUUGCUGCAAUAACAAAGGUUCUGAAGCUAUCAUGGCCCUGAAGAGUGGUCCUGAACCAGGGCAGGGGGGCCUGGCUUUUGUACCUCUGCUUUUGGACUCUGUCCUGCUGGGUGACCUUGCCUGGGCGAGCGGAAGCUUCAUUGCAGAGAGAAGCAGGGGAUCUGAGCAGAAGCCCACAGUAGCUGCUACAUAGAUGUUAUAUAAAGUGUGUAAGCAGAGAGUAUUUAUGAGGGCCCGUGUGUAUGUGGGGUGUGUGUGUGUGUGUGUGUGUGUGUGUGUGUGUGUGUGUAUGAAUUGCUGUAUAUGAACAUGCCUGUCUUUGACGUCUAUGGGGAAUGUUUUUAUGCACUUGGGGUGACAGUGUUGGAGUGUGACCUUGUGUCUUGCACUUGUGUGCAUGUGUGGAAGUCGGGGAGCUGUGUGUGGCUCUGCCCAGAUGUCCAGCUGUGCCCGGUUUGCAUGUGGGUGCUCUAUAUGUGGGAGCGCUGGCACGUGGAUGUGUACCAGCUUCCAGACUCAUCAGAUGGGAAGCCCUGUGACCUCCUGUUCCUAAAAGAGGACAGAGGAGGCCACUUGAGCCAGGGUAGGGGAUGCUGGGCUGCCUAAGUGGCCUUGGGUGGGGAGUGGAAGGAACUGGCGGAGGCCACCUCAUCUGAAGAAGUAGCCCUUUCUUUGGACCUACCUGGGCCUUUAUAUCCCUUCGACCCUUGUCCUCCCGGCCCAGCCUGCCCCUGGGAAGUGCAAAGCCUCAGAAGAAGAGCUUGCGGAAGGUCUGGAUGCAGGCACUGCCUCACCGCUGCUGGCAGGGGGGCAGUUUCUGCUGACUCCACUCUUCAGAGUCAGCGAGCCUCUCCAGAGCCCCCACAGAACAGACUGACUGGUCUUUGACUGGUGAACCCUCUGGAAACCUCUUCCACUGGCUCACAGAAUGUCUCCAAACACUUUUUUGUUCAUGUGAAAUUGUUCUGGAAAAGCACACCCACCCACCUCCACUGGUAACUGUAAGGGUUUAAUAAAUGAUUUUUAAAAAUCCU
Molecule: long non-coding RNA, 1376 nt
Filed under: Sus scrofa (pig)
Lineage: Eukaryota; Metazoa; Chordata; Mammalia; Artiodactyla; Suidae
Description: lncRNA (ENSSSCG00005024024.1)
Source: RNAcentral